CAUCUUCCUGAGAAAAUUCUGCAUCACACGAGCAUAAAAUUGUAACCAUAAUGUAAAAUCGCCUCUGAACAUAAGCCGGGCCAUGACAGCGUUCAUGCGCAUCGGCAAUUGUUUACUCAAGUCAGGCUCGCCACUCACGCACAGCCCCAAGGCCAAGGCCUGAGGUGAGCGGCGAGCCUGACUUGAGUAAUCAAUUGCCGAUGCGAAUGAACACGGCGCGGCUUAUGUUCGGAGGCGAUUUUGACCCUAUGCAUAUUUUUACCUCGGAACGUACCCUACACCAUCAGAAGCAGAAAAGCAUGCAGAUUUAGGAUCUGUGCUUAAAAAAGUGAUGCGAUGAAAACCAGCUGAGUACUAAGGAGUUGAAGGGAAAUAAGUGCAAAAAUUAUUUAUUCCCUACUUCAUUUAACUCUGAUUUUCGUAUGUGUAAUUUUACAUUAUGGUUACAAUUUUAUGCUAGUGUGAUGCAGAAUUUUCUCAGGAAGAUGAUGGUGGUCUCAGUUUUUCGUAAAAAUGAAUGUUGGGGUCAAGAAACAGGGUGGGAGUGAGGUGUGUGAAGUCGUCGGUUUGGGCAGACAACGAGGAUGGGGCGGGGCUAAGCGUGAAGGCUAUAGGAGUUGCCAACGAGUGAUUUCCUCCAGCUUGUAUGACGAUACCUUCUCUAUACUUGCCUUGCUCUACUCCAGCCAGCCACAGCUUCCUGGGACACUUGGUUUACCGUAGGGGAUGGCGUAAAAUAAUGGUAAAUUUCUGGUCAAAGUUGUUUUGUAUUAUAUAUUUUUAUAUGAUGUUUUAUGUUGUUAUAUGUUGUUUGUUAUGUUUUUAUAUAUGUAGUUAUAUGUUGUGUUUUUUAUGUAUUGAUGUUUAUAUGCUUGUUAUAUGUUUUCUAUGUCGUUUUAUUAUGUAAAUAUUUUAAUAUUAAACAAAAAAAAAUUAUAUAUUUUUUAGCCCC
Molecule: long non-coding RNA, 952 nt
Organism: Eriocheir sinensis (Chinese mitten crab)
Lineage: Eukaryota; Metazoa; Arthropoda; Malacostraca; Decapoda; Varunidae
Exons: 2
Source: RefSeq, a predicted model, not a curated record